Molecule: ribosomal RNA, 229 nt
Filed under: uncultured bacterium
Lineage: Bacteria
Description: partial 16S ribosomal RNA
Rfam family: Bacterial small subunit ribosomal RNA
Source: RNAcentral
UGCGUAGGCGGCGUCAUAAGUCAGGGGUGAAAGCCCACAGCUCAACUGCGGAAUUGCCUUUGAUACUGUGGUGCUUGAAUCAGGUUGAGGUAGGCGGAAUGUGGCAUGUAGCGGUGAAAUGCUUAGAUAUGCCAUAGAACACCGAUUGCGAAGGCAGCUUACUGGACCUGCAUUGACGCUGAGGCACGAAAGCGUGGGGAGCGAACAGGAUUAGAUACCCUGGUAGUCC